UACAUGUGGGGCAAGCGUUGUUCGGAAUUACUGGGCAUAAAGGGUGCGUAGGCGGGUCUUUAAGUCAGGGGUGAAAUCCUGGAGCUCAACUCCAGAACUGCCUUUGAUACUGAAGAUCUUGAGUUCGGGAGAGGUGAGUGGAACUGCGAGUGUAGAGGUGAAAUUCGUAGAUAUUCGCAAGAACACCAGUGGCGAAGGCGGCUCACUGGCCCGAUACUGACGCUGAGGCACGAAAGCGUGGGGAGCAAACAGG
RNAcentral lists this ribosomal RNA (253 nucleotides) under uncultured bacterium. Its description in RNAcentral is "partial 16S ribosomal RNA". It matches the Rfam family "Bacterial small subunit ribosomal RNA", at positions 524 to 776 of the family's 1533-position model. The record is from RNAcentral.